RNAcentral lists this ribosomal RNA (429 nucleotides) under uncultured archaeon. RNAcentral's name for it is "bacterial SSU rRNA". It matches the Rfam family "Archaeal small subunit ribosomal RNA", at positions 474 to 903 of the family's 1478-position model. The record is from RNAcentral.
UACCAGCUCUCCGAGUGGUAGGGAUGAUUAUUGGGCUUAAAGCGUCCGUAGCCGGCUUAGCAAGUCUCCUGUUAAAUUCAGCGACCUAAUCGUUGAGCCGCGGGAGAUACUACUAGGCUAGGAGGCGGGAGAGGUCGACGGUACUUCUGGGGUAGGGGUGAAAUCCUAUAAUCCCGGGAGGACCACCAGUGGCGAAGGCUGUCGACUAGAACGCGCUCGACGGUGAGGGACGAAAGCUGGGGGGAGCGAACCGGAUUAGAUACCCGGGUAGUCCCAGCUGUAAACGAUGCGGGCUAGGUGUUGGGGUGGCUACGUGCCACUUCAGUGCCGCAGGGAAGCCAUUAAGCCCGCCGCCUGGGGAGUACGGCCGCAAGGCUGAAACUUAAAGGAAUUGGCGGGGAGCACCACAAGGCGUGAAGCUUGCGGUUC